This 581-nucleotide long non-coding RNA is filed under the name Dasypus novemcinctus (nine-banded armadillo). Its description in RNAcentral is "lncRNA (ENSDNOG00000052249.1)". The record is from RNAcentral. Lineage: Eukaryota; Metazoa; Chordata; Mammalia; Cingulata; Dasypodidae.
UGGGGAGGAGGGCAGUGACACACUCCUUCCCCCACCUCCCAGCCCCACCUCCCCCGGACACCUGCACAGAGCUGAGGGCGCGUGAAGAGGCUCCCGGCUGCUAGUGCUUCUAGAACCCCAGGCUUCUGUGCUGUUCCCAGACCCCUGGGUCAGCCUGCCACGGGGGGACGGCCCUGGGAGGUGGGUGGGCAGGCCGUUGAAGGAGAGGAAACAGAGGCAGAGUUGGGACACCCUGCGGUUAGGCUGGGCCCCGCCUGCCACUGCCCUCCCCAGGCCUGCUAGAAGCAUGGGCCGUGGGGACUGCAGGAACUGAGGACAAGCCUCCAUUCGGCUCUGAGCCCAAGCCAUGUGUUCAGACUUUUGAGUCUGGGACUGCAGCCUCAGCCACCAACAGCAGCAGUGGUUCCUGCCCUGGACCUUGGAGGCCUGAGAAUCCAGACUUUUUCUCCUCCAUGGAGGAUGAGCAGGCAAGUGUCUAAUUUUGAGAUGGGCAGGAGAGGAUGACAAGAGUGGCAGCAAGCACCAUUUGUUUAGCAUCUGCAUUUUGCCAGGCAUUUUAUGCAUGUUAAAUGCAUAAAAAC